UAAAGCGGCGCACGGGUGAGUAACACGUGGAUAAUCUACCCUAUGGUGGGGAAUAAACCUUGGGAAACCGAGGCUAAUACCGCAUAAGUUCGAGAGAAGAAAGCCGCAAGGCGCCAUUGGAGGAGUCCGCGGCCGAUUAGCUAGUUGGUGAGGUAAGAGCUCACCAAGGCGACGAUCGGUAGCCGGCCUGAGAGGGCACACGGCCACACUGGCACUGAAACACGGGCCAG
Molecule: ribosomal RNA, 230 nt
Filed under: uncultured bacterium
Lineage: Bacteria
Description: partial 16S ribosomal RNA
Rfam family: Bacterial small subunit ribosomal RNA
Source: RNAcentral